Molecule: small RNA, 2327 nt
Filed under: Pongo abelii (Sumatran orangutan)
Lineage: Eukaryota; Metazoa; Chordata; Mammalia; Primates; Hominidae
Description: retained intron
Source: RNAcentral
GCCUCGCCUCUCGGAGCCCGACCCCGGAGUAGCGGACACACCCCCUCCCGGCCCGGCUGUCCGCCUCUGCCCAGCCUUUCCUCAACCUGCUUCAUUUUUCUCCCAGUCGUCCAGCCUCCCGGUUUCCGACUUUGCACUAAGAGGGAUGCACCCUGGAAAACCACACUGCGCGGUCACAUCUUGUUUGGGGAAGAGGCCGGGCUUUUGCAUCUUAGGGUAUACGUUCACCUUUUCAAGGGCCUGGCAUCGAUUUGAUUAAUCAGCCUGGAAUACCCUGUUCCUGCCGACCUGGCCGUUUUUACCUCCCUACCUUAUCACACUCCCAGGAACAUUAAGCAGGGAGCGCUUGGAGUCUUCUUUGGUUCCCCACCUUGAGCUAGACGUGAAGUUGACCCCUGGGCUGCAGCAUGGCUGUAGCCCUCGACUCUCAGAUCGACGCGCCCCUGGAGGUUGAGGGAUGCCUAAUAAUGAAGGUGGAAAAGGAUCCCGAGUGGGCAUCAGAGCCCAUUCUGGAAGGAUUGGAUAGCUCUGAGACCUUCCGCAAAUGCUUCAGGCAAUUCUGUUAUGAGGAUGUGACCGGACCCCAUGAAGCUUUCAGUAAACUCUGGGAACUUUGCUGCCGGUGGCUGAAGCCAGAAAUGCGUUCCAAGGAGCAAAUACUUGAGCUGCUGGUGAUUGAGCAGUUUCUCACCAUUUUACCCGAGAAGAUUCAGGCUUGGGCACAGAAGCAGUGUCCGCAAAGUGGAGAGGAAGCGGUGGCCCUGGUAGUGCAUUUGGAGAAAGAGACUGGAAGACUAAGACAGCAGGUCAGCAGUCCCGUGCACCUGGAGAAGCCUGCCCCACUUGGAGCAGCGUGGGAGAUGGCAGACUUCCAGCCAGAGCAGGUGGAGACCCAACCCAGGGUGGAGUCUCGGGAGGAAGCUGGAAGCCUCCACUCAGGACACCAGGAACAGCUGAACCGAAAGCGAGAACAUCGGCCCUUACCCAAGAAUGCUCGGCCUUCUCCCUGGGUUCCUGCCCUUGCUGAUGAAUGGAAUACCCUAGAUCAGGAAGUGACAACCACACGGCUUCCUGCUCGGUCCCAGGAACCAGUGAAAGAUGUCCACGUGGCCAGAGGCUUUUCCUACAAAAAGAGUGUACAUCAGAUUCCUGCCCACAGGGACCUCUACCGGGAUUUCAGGAAGGAGAAUGUUGGGAACGUGGUCUCCCUGGGAAGUGCAGUGUCUACAUCUAACAAGAUAACCCGGUUGGAACAGAGAAAGGAGCCAUGGACUGUAGGUCUGCAUUCCUCUAACAAGAGAAGUAUCCUACGAAGCAACUACGUCAAGGAAAAGUCAGUUCGUGCUAUUCAGGUCCCUGCAAGGAGUGCAGGAAAAACAUGGAGAGAGCAGCAGCAGUGGGGUUUAGAAGACGAAAAGAUAGCAGGUGUGCAUUGGAGCUAUGAGGAAACAAAGACUUUCCUGGCAAUUCUCAAAGAGUCUCGCUUUUAUGAAACACUUCAAGCCUGUCCCCGAAAUAGCCAGGUGUAUGGUGCUGUGGCUGAAUGGUUGCGAGAAUGUGGCUUUCUUAGAACCCCAGAACAGUGUCGAACCAAGUUCAAAAGUCUCCAGAAAAGCUAUCGAAAGGUGAGAAAUGGCCACAUGCUAGAACCCUGCGCCUUCUUUGAGGACAUGGAUGCUUUGUUGAACCCUGCAGCCCAUGCUCCGUCCACUGAUAAACCAAAGGAGAUGAUACCUGUCCCCAGACUGAAGAGAAUUGCCGUCAGUGCUAAGGAACGCAUCAGCUUGGUGGAGGAGGAGGAAGCUGCAGAAGAUUCUGAUGGUGAUGAAAUAGGCGUCGAAUUUAUCCGCAAGUCUGAAAUCCAUGGUGCCCCUGUCUUGUUUCAGAACCUCAGUGGUAAGAAUUGUGCUUUGUUUCUCUGGUAAGAAAACAGAUAUGUGAUCUUGUGGAAAAAGGACCAGAAGUGACCAAACCCAGGGGGUGCUGUCAUACACACCUCACCACUUUCACUGUGGUGUGGCCACAUCACUAAAGUACUCUCAGGUGCUUGCUGCUGCCCCCAUUGCAGUCGGAGUAACAGCUCCAAGAGGCCGUGGAGGAGUCGUUUUCACUUUAGAGCACAGCAUGGAUUUUGAGUGUUUGCGUCCUUGUGGAAGGAAGACAGAUGGAGUUAAAGGGAUCUAAGGAUCUAGUAUUAUCUGAUAAUUGGCAUAAAGCAAUCAAUUGUAUUGGAUUAUAAGUCAAGCAUGCAUUAUUACAUUAUCUAAAAUAACCAGUACAAAAUUAGGUAACAGUUUCAACAGGUUUUCAUUAAAAAUGAAAUAAAC